UCUUCGCGCAAGCGGCUUCCAAUGCCGCUGUUUCCGGGUUGGCAGCAGCUGUGGCGGCGGCGGCCGAAGAGGUGAAGUCAGGGCGGCGCAGGAACCGCAGCCUCAGGCCCCACGGAGCUGAAGACCUGGGCGGGCCCGGCGCGGGUGCGCCCGCCAGGCUGUUGGGUGGGCCGGCCGCGAUCCAGGCCUCGCCGGGCCUGCAGAGAGGCUUAAUCCUUGGCUUCUAAAGAAAAUGGCAGAAACAUCAUCAGAGCCUCCUGGGCAGCUUGUUGUACACUCAGACACUCACAGUGACACUGUCCUGGCCAGUUUUGAGGAUCAGAGGAAGAAAGGUUUUCUCUGUGACAUUACUUUAAUCGUGGAGAAUGUGCAUUUCCGGGCCCACAAAGCCUUACUGGCUGCCAGUAGCGAAUACUUCUCCAUGAUGUUUGCUGAAGAGGGGGAGAUUGGCCAGUCCAUUUAUAUGCUGGAAGGCAUGGUAGCCGACACAUUUGGUAUCCUGCUGGAAUUCAUUUACACAGGUUGUCUGCAGGCCAGUGAGAAAAGUACAGAACAAAUUCUGGCUACUGCUCAGUUCCUAAAAGUCAAUGACCUGGUAAAGGCUUACACAGACUUUCAAAAUAACCAUAGCUCCCCAAAGCCAACAACUUUGAACACGGCUGGUGUUCCAGUGGUUGUUAUUUCUAAUAAGAAAAAUGAUCCUCCAAAGCGGAAACGGGGAAGACCAAGAAAAGUCAACAAUUUGCAGGAGGGGAAAUCAGAACUGGCUGCAGAGGAAGAAGUACAGCUGAGAGUGAACAAUUCAGUUCAGAACAGACAAAACUUUGUGGUUAAAGAGGGAGAAAAUGGGGUACCACAUGAACAGAUUCCAGCAAAAGAAAUGGAAGAGUCUGAGCCUGCUUGUGACCCAGGGAGAGGGGAAGGAAUGCCCGCUGAAAAAGAUGAGAACUGUGAUCCUAAGACCCAGGAUGGGCAGGACCACCAGACUCGGUUCAGCAAGCGGAGGAUUCAGAGAUCCAUCAAACUUAAAGAUUACAAACUUGUUGGGGAUGAAGAUGACCAGAGUUCCACCAAGCGGGUCUGUGGAAGGAGAAAGCGCCCCGUCGGCCAUGAGGCCCGUUGUAAAGACUGUGGCAAAGUCUUCAAGUAUAAUCACUUUUUAGCAAUCCACCAGAGGAGCCACACAGGGGAGCGACCUUUCAAGUGUAAUGAGUGUGGGAAAGGCUUUACCCAGAAGCACUCCCUGCAGGUCCACACCCGGAUACACACAGGCGAGCGGCCGUACACCUGCACCAUGUGUAGCAAAGCGCUCACCACCAAGCACUCGCUGCUGGAGCACAUGAGCCUGCACUCAGGACAGAAGUCUUUUACCUGUGAUCAGUGUGGAAAAUAUUUCAGUCAGAAAAGACAACUAAAGAGCCAUUACCGAGUUCAUACAGGCCACUCAUUACCGGAAUGCAACCACUGCCAUCGCAAAUUCAUGGACGUGUCUCAGCUAAAGAAACAUCUACGAACACACACAGUACUGCCUUCCUGACAUCAGUGUACCUGAAAACCAAGUUAGUGAUCAGAAGAUUGCUUGGUGACCUGGGGGCAAGUUCAGGGAAUUGGCCCAGGCCAUGGAGAAGCCUGAGUCCCCGUGUGACCUAGUAAGCAUCUCCGUACGAUCCACAGUAGAGGUGUGAACAUGGUAACAGAAAUGAUCCACUUUCCCUGGAAGAUCUGGGAAAGCAUCCCAGAAGAAAGACCUGGAUCUUGAAGCCAGAGGAAGUGCUGGAUGGACAAAAGAAGUGGGAAGAGGCGUUCCCAGGCAGGAACAGGGUGUGCAGAGAGAUAUUGAGGUGAGAGGCUGGCAACCGAGGGCCACAGUGAGGAAAUGCCACCCUGAACAGCAAAAGUGAGAUUGCCAGCAAAGGUGAAGGCAGGUGUGGGGGGACCUUUGGCAGAAAGGAGGGGUUUUGAUUUGUGUAUUGGAAAAAACUCAGGCAGCCCCAGGAGGGUGGACAGAGUGGAAUGAGCCAGGUAGCAGGCUUCUGGGGGAAGAAAGAUGAAGGCCUUUGGGUCCGGAGAGUGGAAGUAAGAGAUCUAUUUCAGAGAUCUGUAGUGACUGCAAACAUGACAAACUGUUCAUAUCCAAAAUACUGAGUACCCCAGUAGAAAACUGAGCCGGAGACAUAAAAGGCACUUCAUGGAAGACAUAGGAAUGGCCAGUAGACAUAUAAAAUAAUGUUAACUGCACUAAUCAUCAAAGAAAAAGAAAUGUCCACUUAUUUUUACCCAUUACAUUGGCACAUAUGUGAGGAAAUGGGCAACUUUAUGUUCUGUUGGUGGGAAUAUAACUUGGGAGCUUUCUGGAAAGAACUUUGGCAAUGUGUAUCAAAAUGUAAACUGCCCAAUUGUGAAAAGAUGUUUGCAUAAGGAUAUUCAUAAAUAGGAUUGUUUAUAAGGUCACAAGCUUAAAAACUACCACAAUACCUCAGUGUCCAUCAGUAAGAGAUUAGUUAGGUAAAUUUUGGACAGGAUACAUAGUGAAACACAGCACAUACAAUAGUGGUGUGGCUUUAUUUGACAUUACAGACCAGCAUGCACUGGACAAUCUGUGGGGAAGGAAGAAACUUUCCUCUAUGCUCCUAGGUUCUUUCAGCUGGUCUAAUUAUAGACAUAAAACAGGUUAACAAGAGAAAAUAAUCCAAUUACAUACAUACAUACAAGGACCCCACAUACGUGAGAGGCUGAGUGACAUAAAGGGAAGAUGAUGUAUGUAUGACAUUCUGAGCCAAAGAAUGAGGUAAGUUGCCUUGGGGUUUCAGAAGGGAGGAAGCUAUGAUAAUAGGAUAAUAAUCAUAGCUGUUCAGUCAUUAAAAGUUUGCCCUGCCCUGUAGAUAGGUCCUAAAGAGUUAUUUCCGGUGAUAACUCCUAUUAUGGGCAAGGCCCCUAAUUUAAAUUCUUUAAGGGAGAGGUGAAAGUUUCUCCUUAGUCCACAGGGUCUCAGUUGCCUUCAGCUCAAAAUAAUUCACAUACCAAGUGGCACAUCCUGUGGUGUCCUGUCUGAACCCCUUAAGUCUCACCUUUGAAAUUUCCUGAGAAGUUUCACCUUCCAGAAGUUGGGUUGAUAGAUUGUUCCUUAUCUCAUUAAACCAGCCUUGUCUUAAAAAUAGGUCAGUUCAGUCUAACAUUUGUAUCCCACUUCAGGAGACAGUAAUGCAGGUGGGCUCCCAAAGUUAGGCCUGUGGUUCGGGCAGUCAGGUAUUUACUAAGAGGCAUCUGUGAGGAAAAGGAAAAUCAGUGGUUAAUAACUGGAACAGAUUAGUCCUAGUUCCUUAGUUCUGAAGGAACCACAUUGAGAAGAUUUCUAGAUGUCGGGUUUGAAGCAUCUUCAGAUGGAGUGGACGCAGGCAAGUGACAAUCUGAUAGAUUUUCCUGGUCUGUAUUUUGAAUGACUCGGUGAUCUUUCUAUAACAGGCACGAAGGUUCUCCAUGUAUGAGCUUGUUGUGGUCAUUUCUCUGACGUUUAUGUCAAGUUGUCCCACUUUAGCUUGCCUGGGUUUGGGAAAAAGGCACUUUUGAGUUCUCAAUUAUUCCAAGUCAGGAGGGUGGGAGAAAAAAUUGGAAGCAUUAGUUUGGAGAGUCAUAGUCAGAUAUAGGGAGGAGUUAGAAGAAUUCAGGAUCCAGUCCAAUUUGCGAAUAGGAACAAAACUUCAAAAGACAAUGAACAACACUAGAAUUUAAUAUCCACAAAGGUAUAUUACUGAAACAUAAUCUUUUCCCUAAAAUCACCCCCAUUUUUACCAAACAUAGCUAAAUUAAGACUAAUUCGUUUGUGAGGUAAGUCUAGUUUCAACAAACUCAGCCUGUUAUUUAAAUAGGAGCAGCAAGAACGAUAAUUAACCUAUAGGCUCUUUUAAGUCUAUUUGUAAUUUUGUCAAUUUUUAUAUUUCUAUAUUAUUUCACCAGUGGGUUUUGGUAUCAUAGUUCACGGAUUUCCCAUAUCAGGGAGUCCUGGAAAUUUCUCUUUUCUGUUCCCUGACUGUAUUGCCUACUUUGUGUAAAAGGACUUUGGGUCCCUCACAAGGGGUCAAGCCAAGGGACCCUGGUCCUUCUGUCAAUCUUUAACUUACUUAGUUGGCCUAACUGCUGCCCCAAGGAUUGCUGGUCAGGUUUUUCAUUAUAAUUUCUGCCUUGCAGCUAUUUUAGUUUCUCAAAGGUAAACAGGAUUUGUUUGGGGCCCUUUGAUGUUGGCAGGCCAACAGGCGGAGCUUUGGUCCAUCCAGCCAUUGGCGGUGCUUAUUACUGGUAAAUCCUUCGUUUUAACUCUGUCGACAUCCAUUUUAUUUAUCUCAGUUUUUUUUUAAUAACCAUCUAAAGACUUCCACCCUGCUGGGACUAGUCCUGUGACUUUCCUUUCUGUUUUCUUUUUGUUUCACCCCUAUCAAUGUUUGCUUUAUUCACCUAUUUCUUAAAAAUUUCUACCUUGUUGAGAAGAAUCCCUGGACUCUCCUCUUGGCCUCUCCCAUUCUCUUGUUAAUUAACCUAAUGUUUUUAUUUGCAUGUGUGAGACCUAUGAGGGAAAACAGAGACUGUAAAAUCGAUGUUUUUCCCUUUUUAUUAUUAAGGGAAUUCUUAAGACUAGGUGCUAUAUUUCUUUGAAUCCACUUUUAAAAUUUGGUCUUUCCAUGGUACCAAUAAAACAGCUGUUACGAUGAGAGCUCUAAAAAUUUUCGAAUUUAGAUGUAUUUCCAAUUGAAAGGAUCCACCCUCUCUCUGGCCUUGACAAGUAGUAUCUUAACAGUGACUCAAACCAAUAAACCUUUUUGUAGCUUAAUAAAGGGCCACAUAAGUGUGUGAAGAGUGCAGCCCUCACAGGAUCCAGAAAGUUCACUCCCAGAGUACUCUUAAGACAUUAAAAAGGCAGGCAAUCAAGCAAUGAAGAGGAAGAUGACAAAGUCCCCUCAUGGAAUUUCCCUGAGAGCUGGCACGGAGGAACAAAAAGACAAAGAGAGCUGCCCGGAAUGGAAUCCCCAGUCUAUUUGGCUGCCAAAUGUGCUCUGAUAAGUACACCUUCUGGAUGGCAGAGACCAAAGAGGCAAAACCAAGUUCUCAAAACAUAGAAUAAAACAAAUGACAUAACACACAAAACAGUGACCGUCUCUGGAAGGAAAGGAUCAAUAAAGAUCCAGAGUACUCCCACCACAUAAUCAAAAAUUGCUAAACCCAAGGAACUAGUUCCAAAAAUAUUUUUUCCUCCUAAAUUUAGAAAAGGGGGAAAAAAGGCUCUCACCACUGAACGCUGCAGGUAGACAUCUGGGAGUCUGACUUGACAAAAUUCUUACCUUUGCCGGUUUGUGCAUGAGGCCCCAGGAUCCUUCUGCAGCAGCUUCCUGGUGAGCAGCGCCUGGCCAGUGAAGUAUCCUGCUCACAGUGCCAACUGCCAGGGAGGAAGAAACUUGCCUCUCCCCUCCUAGGUCUUUUUGUCUGGCCUGACAAUCAAAUAGACAUGAGACAGAUUUAUAAGCGAGAAUGACCAAAUGUAAUUACAUAGGUACAUAUGGGAACACCACAUACGCGAGAGAGGCAGAGACAGAAAGGGAAAAUGGGGUAAUAAUGACAUUCAGGUAAGGAUGAGGUAAGGCGCCGUGGGGCUUCACAGGGGAGGGAGGUCAUGCACAGGAUGGUAAGUGCAGAUAUCCGGUAACUAGAAGUUUGCCCUGCCUUACAGAUAGGUCAUAAAGUUAUUUCUCGUGAUUACUCUCAUUAUGGGCAAGGCCCCCAAUUUAAAUUCUUUAAGGGGGAGGUAAAAGAGUCUCGUGAACCCACAGGCUCUCGAUUGCCUUCAGUUCAAAGCAGUCCUCAUGCCAUGGGGAGGCCUGUUCUGAACCCCUUCAGAUCUCACAGCAUAGAAUUGCGUACUCGAGUGUACAUUCACAAAGAGAUGUCUGGAAAGAUGUACAUCGCAGUGUUACGUAGCUCUCUCACGUGAGGGGAAUUUGGAGUGGUUUUUACAAAAAUACGUUGUGCUUUUUGCUAUUAUUCGAGUCUUUUUUGUAUUGGGAGCACGGGUGAUUUUUAAAGAAAAACAAACCUAUUUCAUUCAGAGUUAAAAUGUAUAGAACUGAAUUGCCAUUGAGCAUGAACACAGAGUGAACUAGAGGUGUCACGUGACUGUGGGGCCUGGCCGGGGCCGGGGUUGGAUGGUGCUGCUAUUACCCAAAAAAGUUACUCCAGGUUUGAACCGAUGGUGAUGGGAAAUCAGCUGUGAUACCCAACGAGCCCCAAGUAGUCGGUACUGUCAGGCUCUGAGGUGCGAAUUUACAAGUCGUCAGAGUCGGGGUGGGGUUGGUGGCAUGUACUGCUGAGAAGAGGGUCUAGAAGGGAAACCCUUGAGUUACGUAAGUAUUUCUGUGCGCC
Rhinolophus ferrumequinum (greater horseshoe bat) is the source of this 6405-nucleotide RNA transcript. It is a transcript of the gene named zinc finger and BTB domain containing 24, with no coding region annotated. The transcript is spliced from 7 exons. Lineage: Eukaryota; Metazoa; Chordata; Mammalia; Chiroptera; Rhinolophidae. The record is from RefSeq and is a predicted model, not a curated record.